RNAcentral lists this ribosomal RNA (468 nucleotides) under uncultured bacterium. Its description in RNAcentral is "partial 16S ribosomal RNA". It matches the Rfam family "Bacterial small subunit ribosomal RNA", at positions 28 to 507 of the family's 1533-position model. The record is from RNAcentral.
GAUGAACGCUGGCGGCGUGCUUAACACAUGCAAGUCGAACGGUGAGGCCCUGCUUUUGUCUGGUGCUCGAGUGGCGAACGGGUGAGUAACACGUGAGUAACCUGCCCUUGACUUUGGGAUAACUUCAGGAAACUGGGGCUAAUACCGGAUAGGAGCUCCUGCUGCAUGUUGGGCGUUGGAAAGUUUCGGCGGUUGGGGAUGGACUCGCGGCUUAUCAGCUUGUUGGUGGGGUAGUGGCUUACCAAGGCUUCGACGGGUAGCCGGCCUGAGAGGGUGACCGGCCACAUUGGGACUGAGAUACGGCCCAGACUCCUACGGGAGGCAGCAGUGGGGAAUAUUGCACAAUGGGCGGAAGCCUGAUGCAGCAACGCCGCGUGAGGGAUGACGGCCUUCGGGUUGUAAACCGCUUUCGCCAGUGACGAAGCGAGAGUGACGGUAAUGGGUAAAGAAGCACCGGCUAACUACGUG